CUGGGAUGCUCCUUGUCCUGAAAAAAAGUUUCAAAUAUGCGCAGGGUUAGAAGGACAACAAAACUCACAGAAACCUUUCCGCCUCCUCAAAGAACGAUGCAACGCUUGUGGACCCGGAGGUCGUUUCGGAGAAAAGGGAAAUUCCAUGAAAAGGCCAUACAGCAGUAAAUCUAGGGGGAUGAGAAAUCACUGGAGGUGAUGGACCAUAAAGCAGUAAGUAUGAUUAUGUUAUCUAAAGGGAGUGGAUAAAGUGAGCCAACAGAUUUUGUAUAUACAGUACAGUAGACAGCAAUAUGCUCAUGUUACCUUCUCUUUAUUAUAUAAAUAUAUGUAGCUGUAAUUUCAUGUCAGUGUAAUGUCACUAAAUAGAAGCACAUACAUUGAAGUAUUAUUUUUUCCAUUUUCAAUGGUGGCGCUGAAACAUCAUUUAAGUUUUCUCGAGAGCUGAAAAACCAACAAUGCAUGAGCCAAGUUUCAGUGAAAACAAGCUCACACAGUACACUUCCAGAACCAGGGUUCCUAAAGCACUGCUUAUAAUGUCACAUUUAUGUACACUAAUCAAAACACAUAAGCAAAUGUAUGAUUAAUGGUCCAUAAUUUACAUUUGUAUUCAUGUGGAAAAGUAAAGGCCUAAAAGAAUACAUGACAACCAGUAUCAUAAAAUCUCCAGUUUGAUAUAUACCAAAGUUACAUUGAAUGUAAAGUUAUUGAAAUGUAUUUUUGUUAUACAUAAACAUACAUACAAUUACAGCACAUAUACUCAAGGGCAUUAAUUAGGCAACAAAUGUAUUUGACAGCCUGAAUGAGCUUGAAUGAGCACAUAUAUGACCUGCAUGCAUAAUUUAAGGUUGAGAAUCCAAUAUCCUUUUACUAUUUAUAGUUUUUUCUGAUGUAAUUGUCAUUUGGUUUACAUCUUUGGCCUUUACUACAAAAUAUGUCAUGGCUAUUUUUCUAAAUGAUUGUAUAUGCUGCUGAUGCCACAAAAGUUCUUUGAGGAUAAUCUGCAGCUCAUUUAAAAAUGAACAAAACUGCACACAUUUUUACAUCUAUCAGGCCUUGUGUGCAUGACAGAUAACUUCCCUGUCAAAUUACAAAUUAAAAUACAAAUGAAGAAAAAACAAA
This is a long non-coding RNA of Anguilla rostrata (American eel), 1122 nucleotides long. RefSeq lists it as uncharacterized. The record is from RefSeq and is a predicted model, not a curated record. Lineage: Eukaryota; Metazoa; Chordata; Actinopteri; Anguilliformes; Anguillidae. The transcript is spliced from 2 exons.